This 520-nucleotide ribosomal RNA is filed under the name uncultured Scutellospora. RNAcentral describes it as "SSU rRNA". It matches the Rfam family "Eukaryotic small subunit ribosomal RNA", at positions 569 to 1091 of the family's 1831-position model. The record is from RNAcentral. Lineage: Eukaryota; Fungi; Glomeromycota; Glomeromycetes; Diversisporales; Gigasporaceae.
AGCAGCCGCGGUAAUUCCAGCUCCAAUAGCGUAUAUUAAAGUUGUUGCAGUUAAAAAGCUCGUAGUUGAAUUUCGGGGUUCUACCGUUGGUCGGGCUAUUGUCUGUACUGGCGUGUAGAAUUUCUACCUUCUGGGGAACUAUCAUGUUAUUAAUUUAGCGUGGUAGGAAACCAGGACCUUUACCUUGAAAAAAUUAGAGUGUUCAAAGCAGGCUUAUGUCUGAAUACAUUAGCAUGGAAUAAUAAAAUAGGACGGUGGUCCUGUUUUGUUGGUUUCUGAAUCACCGUAAUGAUUAAUAGGGAUAGUUGGGGGCAUUAGUAUUCAAUUGUCAGAGGUGAAAUUCUUGGAUUUAUUGAAGACUAACUACUGCGAAAGCAUUUGCCAAGGAUGUUUUUCAUUAAUCAAGAACGAAAGUUUAGGGGAUCGAAGACGAAUCAGAUACCGUCGUAGUCUUAACCAUAAACUAUGCCGACUAGGGAUCGGACGAUGUUAACUUUUCUUGACCCGUUCGGCGCCUUAC